GACGAACCGAGCGAACGUUGUUCGGAAUCACUGGGCUUAAAGGGCGCGUAGGCGGAUUUGCAAGUCCGUGGUGAAAUCCCACAGCUCAACUGUGGAACUGCCUCGGAUACUGUGAGUCUCGAGGGUGGUAGGGGUAUGCGGAACUAUCGGUGGAGCGGUGAAAUGCGUUGAUAUCGAUAGGAACUCCGGUGGCGAAGGCGGCAUACUGGACCACUUCUGACGCUGAGGCGCGAAAGCCAGGGGAGCAAACGGG
This 253-nucleotide ribosomal RNA is filed under the name uncultured bacterium. Its description in RNAcentral is "partial 16S ribosomal RNA". It matches the Rfam family "Bacterial small subunit ribosomal RNA", at positions 524 to 776 of the family's 1533-position model. The record is from RNAcentral. RNAcentral also lists the same sequence under 1 other name.